This 256-nucleotide ribosomal RNA is filed under the name uncultured bacterium. Its description in RNAcentral is "partial 16S ribosomal RNA". It matches the Rfam family "Bacterial small subunit ribosomal RNA", at positions 524 to 776 of the family's 1533-position model. The record is from RNAcentral.
UACGUAGGGUGCAAGCGUUAUCCGGAAUUAUUGGGCGUAAAGAGCUCGUAGGCGGUUUGUCGCGUCUGCUGUGAAAAACUGGGGGGCUCAACCCCCCAGCCUGCAGUGGGUACGGGCAGACUAGAGUGCGGUAGGGGAGAUUGGAAUUCCUGGUGUAGCGGUGGAAUGCGCAGAUAUCAGGAGGAACACCGAUGGCGAAGGCAGAUCUCUGGGCCGUAACUGACGCUGAGGAGCGAAAGCAUGGGGAGCGAACAGG